GAUGAACGCUGGCGGCGUGCCUAAUACAUGCAAGUCGAGCGAACGGACGAGAAGCUUGCUUCUCUGAUGUUAGCGGCGGACGGGUGAGUAACACGUGGAUAACCUACCUAUAAGACUGGGAUAACUUCGGGAAACCGGAGCUAAUACCGGAUAAUAUUUUGAACCGCAUGGUUCAAAAGUGAAAGACGGUCUUGCUGUCACUUAUAGAUGGAUCCGCGCUGCAUUAGCUAGUUGGUAAGGUAACGGCUUACCAAGGCAACGAUGCAUAGCCGACCUGAGGGGGUGAUCGGCCACACUGGAACUGAGACACGGUCCAGACUCCUACGGGAGGCAGCAGUAGGGAAUCUUCCGCAAUGGGCGAAAGCCUGACGGAGCAACGCCGCGUGAGUGAUGAAGGUCUUCGGAUCGUAAAACUCUGUUAUUAGGGAAGAACAUAUGUGUAAGUAACUGUGCACAUCUUGACGGUACCUAAUCAGAAAGCCACGGCUAACUACGUGCCAGCAGCCGCGGUAAUACGUAGGUGGCAAGCGUUAUCCGGAAUUAUUGGGCGUAAAGCGCGCGUAGGCGGUUUUUUAAGUCUGAUGUGAAAGCCCACGGCUCAACCGUGGAGGGUCAUUGGAAACUGGAAAACUUGAGUGCAGAAGAGGAAAGUGGAAUUCCAUGUGUAGCGGUGAAAUGCGCAGAGAUAUGGAGGAACACCAGUGGCGAAGGCGACUUUCUGGUCUGUAACUGACGCUGAUGUGCGAAAGCGUGGGGAUCAAACAGGAUUAGAUACCCUGGUAGUCCACGCCGUAAACGAUGAGUGCUAAGUGUUAGGGGGUUUCCGCCCCUUAGUGCUGCAGCUAACGCAUUAAGCACUCCGCCUGGGGAGUACGACCGCAAGGUUGAAACUCAAAGGAAUUGACGGGGACCCGCACAAGCGGUGGAGCAUGUGGUUUAAUUCGAAGCAACGCGAAGAACCUUACCAAAUCUUGACAUCCUUUGACAACUCUAGAGAUAGAGCCUUCCCCUUCGGGGGACAAAGUGACAGGUGGUGCAUGGUUGUCGUCAGCUCGUGUCGUGAGAUGUUGGGUUAAGUCCCGCAACGAGCGCAACCCUUAAGCUUAGUUGCCAUCAUUAAGUUGGGCACUCUAAGUUGACUGCCGGUGACAAACCGGAGGAAGGUGGGGAUGACGUCAAAUCAUCAUGCCCCUUAUGAUUUGGGCUACACACGUGCUACAAUGGACAAUACAAAGGGCAGCGAAACCGCGAGGUCAAGCAAAUCCCAUAAAGUUGUUCUCAGUUCGGAUUGUAGUCUGCAACCCGACUACAUGAAGCUGGAAUCGCUAGUAAUCGUAGAUCAGCAUGCUACGGUGAAUACGUUCCCGGGUCU
Molecule: ribosomal RNA, 1372 nt
Filed under: uncultured bacterium
Lineage: Bacteria
Description: bacterial SSU rRNA
Rfam family: Bacterial small subunit ribosomal RNA
Source: RNAcentral